RNAcentral lists this long non-coding RNA (542 nucleotides) under Lactuca sativa (garden lettuce). Its description in RNAcentral is "long non-coding RNA (LSAT_LNC007809)". The record is from RNAcentral. Lineage: Eukaryota; Viridiplantae; Streptophyta; Magnoliopsida; Asterales; Asteraceae.
AAAUACGUGCUAUGUGUUUAUAUGUUAUUUGUCUAUUUGAGAUGGACAUGGAAAUUGGAGUUUUAUACAGGUGUUAAAUGAUUUAAACUGUGUAAGUAUUUAUAUCUACAAAAUUGUUGGGUAGAACAUGGGUAGAUGGGAUAGUUGGUGACUAUGGAGUUAGCGCCUGCUGUUAGAUAAACCUUGGUGACUAUGGAGUUAGCGCCUGCUGUUAGAUAAACCUUGGUGACUAUGGAGUUAGCGCCUAUUAUUAGAUAAACCUUGGUGACUAUGGAGUUAGCGCCUUUUGUAUAAACCUUGGUGACUAUGGAGUUAGCGCCUAUUGCAUAAACCUUGGCGACGAUGUGACUUCGUGCCUAUUUGAUGAACCUUGGCGACUAUGGAGUUAGCGCUUGUUAAGUAAACCUUGGCGACUAUGGAGUUAGCGCUUGUUAAGUGAACCUUGGUGACUAUGGAGUUAGCAUCGCUUGAGUAAACCCCGACGACUAUGGAGUUAGCGUCUGAUAACUAUGGAUUUAGUACUCGAUAGAUAAACUUUGGCA